Bos taurus (domestic cattle) is the source of this 511-nucleotide long non-coding RNA. The record is from Ensembl. Lineage: Eukaryota; Metazoa; Chordata; Mammalia; Artiodactyla; Bovidae.
CAAUGAAUAUUCAGGACUGAUUUAGUCACUAGGCUGGAGGUGUGCGUUGUUGAAAUGAUCACGGAGAACUUAAUCUUGAGCAACCUGUAGCGCCUAUUUGCAGUUGUUCUGCAGGACCUAAGACCCCUACCAAGGCAGAGGAUUGUGAUUACCUUUUGAGCACAAGAAGUAGACCCCAGACUGGUGGAACCAGAAAGCUGAUGAUCCAGAUUCCUGAAAACAUCUGUUACCACCAACCAAUCAGAAGAAAGUCAUGUACCCUGCAGCUCUCACCCUAAAUGUUGCCUUUAAUAAUCUUCCCCUGAAAACCAUGAAGUUCAGGUUCUUUGAGGACGGUGGUGGUGGUUUAGUCCCUAAGUGGUGUCCGACUCUUGGUGACCCCAUGGACUGUAGCCUGCCAGGCUUCUCUGUCCAUGGGAUUUUCCAGCAAGAAUACUGGAGUGGGUUGCCAUUUCCUUCUCUAGGCUUUGAGCAUGAGGUUCCUGUUUUCUUUGGGUGGCUUCUGCAAUAA